CCACUAUGACCACCACCAUCCGCCAGGUCACCUCCUCCAGCUUCAUCAAGGGAUCCUCCGGCCUGGGGGGCGGCUUGUCCCGCGCUUCCUGCCGGCUGUCCAGUAACCUGGGUGCCGGUUCCUGCAGGCUGGGAUCGGUCGGCGGCCUGGGCAGUGCCCUCGGAGGCAGUAGCUACUCCAGCUGCCACAGCUUUGGCUAUGGCGGCGGCUUCGGGUGGAGGUGAGAAGGCCACCAUGCAGAACCUCAACGACCGCCUGGCCUCCUACCUGGACAAGGUGCGUGCCAUGGAGGAGGCCAACACUGAGCUGGAAGUGAAAAUCAGAGACUGGUACCAGAAGCAGGCCCCGAGGCCCGCUCGCGACUAUAGCCACUACUACCACACCAUCGAGGACCUGAAGAGCAAGGUCCUCACAGACACUGUGGACAAUGCCAACAUUCUGCUGCAGAUUGACAAUGCCCGUCUGGCCGCGGAUAACUUCUGUACCAAGUUUGAAACGGAGCAGGCCCUGCGUGUGAGUGUGGAGGCCGACAUCAACGGCCUGCGCCGGGUGCUGGAUGAGCUGACCCUGGCCAGAGCCGACCUGGAGAUGCAGAUUGAGAACUUCAAAGAGGAGCUGGCCUACCUCUGGAAAAACUACGAGGAGGAGAUGACCGCCCUGCGGGGCCAGGUGGGCGGCGAGAUCAACGUGGAGAUGGAUGCGGUGCCUGGUGUGGCCUUGAGCCGCAUCCUGAAUGAGAUGCGCGACCAGUACGAGAAGAUGGCAGAGAAGAACCGCAAGGAUGCUGAGGACUGGUUCUUCAGCAAGACGGAGGAGCUGAACCGCGAGGUGGCCACUAACAGCGAGCUGGUGCAGAGCGGCAAGAGGGAGAUUGCCGAGCUUCGGCGCACGGUGCAGACCUUGGAGAUUGAGCUGCAGUCCCAGCUCAGCAUGAAAGCAUCCCUGGAGGGCAGCCUGGCGGAGACAGAGAACCACUACUGCGUGCAGCUGGCCCAGAUCCAGGGGCUGAUCGGCAGCGUGGAGGAGCAGCUGGCCCAGCUGCGCUGCCAGUUGGAGCAGCAGAACCAGGAGUACAGGAUCCUUCUGGACGUGAAAACGCGGCCGGAGCAGGCGAUCACCACUUACCGCCGUCUGCUAGAGGGCGAGGAUGCCCACCUGACUCAGUACAAGCCAAAAGAACCCGUGACCACCCACCAGGUGCGUGCGCACCAUUGUGGAGGAGGUCCAAGACGGCAAGGUCAUCUCCUCCCGCGAGCAGGUGCACCAGACCACCCACUGA
RNA transcript from Carlito syrichta (Philippine tarsier), 1279 nucleotides. It is a transcript of the gene named keratin, type I cytoskeletal 17 pseudogene, with no coding region annotated. Lineage: Eukaryota; Metazoa; Chordata; Mammalia; Primates; Tarsiidae. The transcript has a single exon. The record is from RefSeq and is a predicted model, not a curated record.